Molecule: ribosomal RNA, 171 nt
Filed under: Staphylococcus aureus
Lineage: Bacteria; Bacillati; Bacillota; Bacilli; Caryophanales; Staphylococcaceae
Description: partial 23S ribosomal RNA
Rfam family: Bacterial large subunit ribosomal RNA
Source: RNAcentral
UGUGUGGACGGGAUAAGUGCUGAAAGCAUCUAAGCAUGAAGCCCCCCUCAAGAUGAGAUUUCCCAACUUCGGUUAUAAGAUCCCUCAAAGAUGAUGAGGUUAAUAGGUUCGAGGUGGAAGCAUGGUGACAUGUGGAGCUGACGAAUACUAAUCGAUCGAAGACUUAAUCAA